Long non-coding RNA from Sinocyclocheilus anshuiensis, 339 nucleotides. RefSeq lists it as uncharacterized. NCBI's taxonomy places the organism in Eukaryota, Metazoa, Chordata, Actinopteri, Cypriniformes, Cyprinidae. The transcript has 3 exons. The record is from RefSeq and is a predicted model, not a curated record.
GAGGCAUUCAAAGAACAACAGACUGCCUUACUGGAACAUUUGAAGGCAGGAAGCACAGAAAAAAAGGAAAUACAUUUAUCUGGAGAUGGAAGAUCAGACAGUCCUGGAUAUUCGGCAAAGUACACCACAUUCAGCUUGAUGGAUGACAAUACAGACAAAGUGGUGCACUUUGAGCUGGUGCAAGUUACAGAAUCAUCAAGCUCUGUAGCAAUGGAGUCGACUGGUUUCAGGAGAGCACUCGGCAAAAUCCUAGAUGACGAUAUUGGAGUAAGUGUGGUGACAACUGAUAGAUCCCCAUCCAUUCGCAAGAUAAUGCGAGUCGACUACACAAACAUUCAU